This 253-nucleotide ribosomal RNA is filed under the name uncultured bacterium. Its description in RNAcentral is "partial 16S ribosomal RNA". It matches the Rfam family "Bacterial small subunit ribosomal RNA", at positions 524 to 776 of the family's 1533-position model. The record is from RNAcentral.
GACGUAGGGGGCGAGCGUUGUCCGGAUUCAUUGGGCGUAAAGCGUGCGUAGGCGGCUGCGCAAGUCGGUUGUGAAACCCCGGGGCUCAACCCCGGAACUGCAUCCGAUACUGCGUGGCUAGAGGUAGGUAGGGGAGAUCGGAAUUCCUGGUGUAGCGGUGAAAUGCGCAGAUAUCAGGAGGAACACCGGUGGCGAAGGCGGAUCUCUGGGCCGGUACUGACGCUGAGGAGCGAAAGCGUGGGGAGCGAACAGG